RNAcentral lists this ribosomal RNA (387 nucleotides) under Triticum aestivum (bread wheat). Its description in RNAcentral is "partial small subunit ribosomal RNA". Lineage: Eukaryota; Viridiplantae; Streptophyta; Magnoliopsida; Poales; Poaceae. The record is from RNAcentral.
AUGUUAAAAAGCACGUCCCUAUCAGAUAAAGCCAGUGGCUUUGGCUCAUCUGGUUUUACUACAGUGUUAGUGCUCUUCUUGUCUUUGGUAGGGGGACGUGCUUCUCCAGCAGUGGGCACAGGGUCGCUCACUACAGUGUUAGUGCUCUUCUUGUCUUUAGAAGGGGGACGUGCUUCUUCAACAGUAGGCACAGGAUCGUUCACUGCUGUCCGCUGGCGUUUCUCAUAUGGAGAAUCACCCUGUUUGAUUUAUCUUUCCUCUCUCGUGCACGGGACCACUCUGUCCAUUCACCAUCCUGCCAAACAAGUGAUGGACGAAGAUUCCAAGCAUCAAGGACUAAGGAAUCACCAGCUGAAAAUACAUGAUCAAGGCAAUAAGGACGGUUAA